GGCGAUGUCUAGUGAUGGUGAAGUUGUCUCCAGUGACAGACUGCAAUUACAGGUUUACUAUCGCCCGGUUAUCAGGAUAACACGGAGUGACAAUCAGGGUCAUCCACUGUCCAUCUUCACUGAGGUCAUCAAGGGUCACAAUGUGACGUUUGUGUGUGACGCUGACAGCAACCCGCCUCCUGCUUCCAUCACGUGGUCAGGGAAAGUAAACAGCACUACUGGGGAGCUACACAUCAUAGCAGCACAGCAGACGACACACGAAGGUAUCUACACCUGUACCGUGGUCACUGAGACAGUUGAUGAUGAUGAUCGUCUACCACUGUCGACAACUCAUCAACUUGGUUUCAUCAUUAAAGGUAUUCUAAGGCAUUUACUCACCUCUCUCACACACACACACACACACAGAUUAACAUUUUGUAUUUUCUGCCAGGUUUGGAAACACCUUCAGAUAUUUCGCGAAACACGGUCAUUUUCUCGCUUUUAUUCUAAGCCUUAUAAUCAGGAACAUUUUGAGUCUAUCGGCGACACUUUUUCAUGUACAUCAUGGGUUUUACAACAUGACACAAUGCUGAGGUAAGGGAAACAGCAAUUAAUCAAAGCAGAGAUAAUUACUUAUCCUAUGGUCACGUGAGAUUUAAUUUUCUUGUAUCUACAUUUUAAACUUAUGGUUACUUAUGUUUGUUAUGUCUUUGUCUUUGCAGUCCUUUAAAAAGACGUCACAUAAAUUACAGGAAGUGUAGUGAAUACAUUUUUAGAUUAUUAUCUUUGAUAACCAGCAUACUUAACCCAUUCUUUCAGUAAUAACAGUAUAUUGUGUCUCCUCCCAUAUAAAGAUUUAUGGGAAACUAUAGUGUUGAUAGAGAUAUUCUUUCUUGACCUGUAAAAAAUCUCUUUGCAGGUUACUGUGUGUUUUUGUUUGUUCUUUAUUGAAAAAGAACGAGACCUGGAGUGAUUUCAACAGCGCAGCAUUUGUCUCCACGUGCAGUUGACAUUGCCAAAGGUUGAUGAAUUUGAGUGCAUGAAUAGACGACAGGGUCCGUGAGUUAACCUUACAUCUAAGUUUUUUUUUAAGUUAACUCCAGCAUUAUCUCUCCAGACUUUGAUGACAAAGUCAACUGUGUGAGUGAGCCCUUAUUUAACGUGCACGUGACAGGUAAGUAUCCAGACACUGGUUGUUUGCCUCUAAGUACAUAAGUAAGAAAUGGUCCACGGGGAGAGUCUUGACCCUGUCAGUUUAAUGUUAAAGGUCUACUUGAUCAUGUGGAGUGAAUUCCACAUCCUCCUGCCCUAUAACGUCCAUCCUACACAAAGUCCCGAGCAUGUUGAAGAACAUAUAAGUACCACAAACUAAAGGUUAGGUUCUAUCUUGCAAUUGCUUUGUCAAGAUGUGAUAACAUAUUUAUAAAACUUAUUCUUAAUGUUCAAAACUAUACAGGCACACGCACGGAAAUAUGACCGAAAGAGAAAAUCAUAGUUUGAAACUAGCAGUAGUAGUUUAUGGAUGUUGUCGAACGAGUGUUCCAAUCUUGUUUUGUACUAAGCCGUUGGUUCUAUUUUCUUUGUGUGAGAUCACGACCAGCCUCCUCAGCCUCUUGUUCUCGUUUAGGCGAACAGACUCCACGAGUCACAUUCGUUCAGCAAAACCAUCACUUCCAGAAUUUGUGCACCUGGACAUGCUCUACUUCGUGAUCUACAGUUUCUUAACCAGUGAUAAGUGAAGAAGAGGAGGCUCAAAACUGCAGCAAAAGAAAAAAAAAACAUUCAGAUUGUCACAAGCAAUUUUUUAAUUUAUUGUAAAGAUAUCGAGAGGCAUGUCCAAUCUCUGCCUAAUGGUAAUUGAAAUGCUGGAAAAUGAAAGCUACAACUGAUUUGAGCGAGGUGACUGAGGAGGAAAUAAAGA
Long non-coding RNA from Pomacea canaliculata, 1900 nucleotides. RefSeq lists it as uncharacterized. The transcript has 3 exons. NCBI's taxonomy places the organism in Eukaryota, Metazoa, Mollusca, Gastropoda, Architaenioglossa, Ampullariidae. The record is from RefSeq and is a predicted model, not a curated record.